GGUGGCUCAGUGGUAGAGCGCUUGUCUUGCAGGCACGAGGCCCUGGGUUCGAUUCCUCAGUACCA
RNAcentral lists this transfer RNA (65 nucleotides) under Dipodomys ordii (Ord's kangaroo rat). It matches the Rfam family "tRNA". Rfam says of the family: Transfer RNA (tRNA) molecules are approximately 80 nucleotides in length. Their secondary structure includes four short double-helical elements and three loops (D, anti-codon, and T loops). Further hydrogen bonds mediate the characteristic L-shaped molecular structure. tRNAs have two regions of fundamental functional importance: the anti-codon, which is responsible for specific mRNA codon recognition, and the 3' end, to which the tRNAs corresponding amino acid is attached (by aminoacyl-tRNA synthetases). tRNAs cope with the degeneracy of the genetic code in two manners: having more than one tRNA (with a specific anti-codon) for a particular amino acid; and 'wobble' base-pairing, i.e. permitting non-standard base-pairing at the 3rd anti-codon position. Lineage: Eukaryota; Metazoa; Chordata; Mammalia; Rodentia; Heteromyidae. The record is from Rfam by way of RNAcentral.